GAGCACAAUGGAGCAGUGCACCUGGCUGUUAACCAAAAGGUUGGUGGUUCGAGCCCACCUCA
RNAcentral lists this transfer RNA (62 nucleotides) under Podarcis lilfordi (Lilford's wall lizard). It matches the Rfam family "tRNA". From Rfam's summary of the family: Transfer RNA (tRNA) molecules are approximately 80 nucleotides in length. Their secondary structure includes four short double-helical elements and three loops (D, anti-codon, and T loops). Further hydrogen bonds mediate the characteristic L-shaped molecular structure. tRNAs have two regions of fundamental functional importance: the anti-codon, which is responsible for specific mRNA codon recognition, and the 3' end, to which the tRNAs corresponding amino acid is attached (by aminoacyl-tRNA synthetases). tRNAs cope with the degeneracy of the genetic code in two manners: having more than one tRNA (with a specific anti-codon) for a particular amino acid; and 'wobble' base-pairing, i.e. permitting non-standard base-pairing at the 3rd anti-codon position. Lineage: Eukaryota; Metazoa; Chordata; Lepidosauria; Squamata; Lacertidae. The record is from Rfam by way of RNAcentral.